This 72-nucleotide transfer RNA is filed under the name Streptococcus suis. RNAcentral's name for it is "tRNA-Asp". It matches the Rfam family "tRNA". Rfam says of the family: Transfer RNA (tRNA) molecules are approximately 80 nucleotides in length. Their secondary structure includes four short double-helical elements and three loops (D, anti-codon, and T loops). Lineage: Bacteria; Bacillati; Bacillota; Bacilli; Lactobacillales; Streptococcaceae. The record is from RNAcentral. RNAcentral also lists the same sequence under 29 other names.
GUCCCGUAGUGUAGCGGUUAUCACGUCGCCCUGUCACGGCGAAGAUCGCGGGUUCGAUUCCCGUCGGGACCG